RNAcentral lists this ribosomal RNA (906 nucleotides) under Escherichia coli. Its description in RNAcentral is "partial 23S ribosomal RNA". It matches the Rfam family "Bacterial large subunit ribosomal RNA", at positions 319 to 1230 of the family's 2925-position model. The record is from RNAcentral. Lineage: Bacteria; Pseudomonadati; Pseudomonadota; Gammaproteobacteria; Enterobacterales; Enterobacteriaceae.
AGUGUGUGUGUUAGUGGAAGCGUCUGGAAAGGCGCGCGAUACAGGGUGACAGCCCCGUACACAAAAAUGCACAUACUGUGAGCUCGAUGAGUAGGGCGGGACACGUGGUAUCCUGUCUGAAUAUGGGGGGACCAUCCUCCAAGGCUAAAUACUCCUGACUGACCGAUAGUGAACCAGUACCGUGAGGGAAAGGCGAAAAGAACCCCGGCGAGGGGAGUGAAAAAGAACCUGAAACCGUGUACGUACAAGCAGUGGGAGCCUCUUUAUGGGGUGACUGCGUACCUUUUGUAUAAUGGGUCAGCGACUUAUAUUCUGUAGCAAGGUUAACCGAAUAGGGGAGCCGAAGGGAAACCGAGUCUUAACUGGGCGUUAAGUUGCAGGGUAUAGACCCGAAACCCGGUGAUCUAGCCAUGGGCAGGUUGAAGGUUGGGUAACACUAACUGGAGGACCGAACCGACUAAUGUUGAAAAAUUAGCGGAUGACUUGUGGCUGGGGGUGAAAGGCCAAUCAAACCGGGAGAUAGCUGGUUCUCCCCGAAAGCUAUUUAGGUAGCGCCUCGUGAAUUCAUCUCCGGGGGUAGAGCACUGUUUCGGCAAGGGGGUCAUCCCGACUUACCAACCCGAUGCAAACUGCGAAUACCGGAGAAUGUUAUCACGGGAGACACACGGCGGGUGCUAACGUCCGUCGUGAAGAGGGAAACAACCCAGACCGCCAGCUAAGGUCCCAAAGUCAUGGUUAAGUGGGAAACGAUGUGGGAAGGCCCAGACAGCCAGGAUGUUGGCUUAGAAGCAGCCAUCAUUUAAAGAAAGCGUAAUAGCUCACUGGUCGAGUCGGCCUGCGCGGAAGAUGUAACGGGGCUAAACCAUGCACCGAAGCUGCGGCAGCGACACUAUGUGUUGUUGGGUA